AUUGAACGCUGGCGGCAUGCCUAACACAUGCAAGUCGCACGCGAAAGAGGGGCAACCCUUGAGUAGAGUGGCGGACGGGUGAGUAACGCGUAGGAAUAUACCUGGUAGUGGGGGACAACCCGGUGAAAACCGGGCUAAUACCGCAUACGAUCCACGGAUGAAAGCAGGGGACCGCAAGGCCUUGCGCUAUCAGAUUAGCCUGCGUCGGAUUAGCUAGUUGGUGAGGUAAUGGCUCACCAAGGCAACGAUCCGUAGCUGGUUCGAGAGAACGACCAGCCACACUGGGACUGAGACACGGCCCAGACUCCUACGGGAGGCAGCAGUGGGGAAUAUUGGACGAUGGGGGCAACCCUGAUCCAGCAAUGCCGCGUGUGUGAAGAAGGCCUUCGGGUUGUAAAGCACUUUCGGUGGGGACAAACGUGGCGAGGCUAACAUCCUCGUCCUUGAUGGUACCCAAAGAAGAAGCACCGGCUAACUCUGUGCCAGCAGCCGCCGUAA
This 498-nucleotide ribosomal RNA is filed under the name uncultured bacterium. RNAcentral's name for it is "partial 16S ribosomal RNA". It matches the Rfam family "Bacterial small subunit ribosomal RNA", at positions 29 to 523 of the family's 1533-position model. The record is from RNAcentral.